UCUCUAUGCGGUGCCUGCCGCCGCGGUAAUACGAAGGGGGCUAGCGUUGUUCGGAAUUACUGGGCGUAAAGCGCACGUAGGCGGAUCGAUCAGUCUAGGGGUGAAAUCCCAGAGCUCAACUCUGGAACUGCCUUUGAUACUGUCGAUCUAGAGGUAUGGAAGAGGUGAGUGGAAUUCCGAGUGUAGAGGUGAAAUUCGUAGAUAUUCGGAGGAACACCAGUGGCGAAGGCGGCUCACUGGUCCAUUACUGACGCUGAGGUGCGAAAGCGUGGGGANCAAACAGGAUUAGAUACCCUGGUAGUCCACGCCGUAAACGAUGAAUGUUAGCCGUCGGGCAGUUUACUGUUCGGUGGCGCAGCUAACGCAUUAAAC
RNAcentral lists this ribosomal RNA (372 nucleotides) under uncultured bacterium. RNAcentral describes it as "bacterial SSU rRNA". It matches the Rfam family "Bacterial small subunit ribosomal RNA", at positions 496 to 865 of the family's 1533-position model. The record is from RNAcentral.